GGACCGGAGGCGCGACCCCUCGGCCCACCUUGAGGCCCGGCCUAGGACUGGAGGCGCGACCCCUCGGCCCACCUUGAGGCCCGGCCUAGGACCGGAGGCGCGACCCCUGGGCCCACCUUGAGGCCCGGCCUAGGACUGGAGGCGCGACCCCUCGGCCCACCUUGAGGCCCGGCCUAGGACCGGAGGCGCGACCCCUGGGCCCACCUGGCGGCCCGGCCGGCACAGCCCGCCUCUCCUCUCCAGGCCAGGGCCCCACACCUUCCGCCUGACAGCCAGCCAAGCUCUUCAGUCCCCCGCCCUCCACCUGCCAGGGAGGCUCCGGGCGUUGUACCUGCCACCACGGGGUAGGUCUGGUGAGUCGAGAGGUUGCGCCCCAGUGGCGUGUUGGAAGGGGUCAGGGUGGCCUUCCCGUCGUCCAGGGUGCUGUUGAGCAAGGGCAGCGGGUAGAGGCCCUGGGGAGCAAAGAGAAGUCAGCGCACAGAGACGAUCCAACAAGCCGACCUUCCUGCAGACCCUGAGCCUGUGUCUUAGGACUUGGCAGCCCUCAUCUCCCCAGGAGAGGUCCUCAUCGCCCCCUUCUUCCUUUACGUUCUCAACUCCACUCGGCACGUUUCGUUCAUGCUCAUUGUCCUCCCGCAUCCCUGGAAUUCAAGGCCAGCUGGUAGCAUGGGUGCCCAGACGUGGGAUAGAGAGUCUCAGCCAGAGGACCACACCCUGGUUGGAUGGCUGGUCGGCUUCCUGGUUUCACCACACUGUUGGGACCCACAGAAUGCAGGACGGUGCCAAGGACUGGAGCAGUCUCCAACCGGACUGUUCAGGGUCCUUGCAUCUGUUAAUUUAUUCUUCCCCAGAUAGGAAACCCAGGCACAAAGGUUUAAGAAACUUGUCCCACUUCCAGAUGGGCCAAAGAUAGGAUUCAGAUUCGAGGGAUCAGAAUGUGUCUGCUCUCAACCACUGCCCUAAACUGGGUGACAUAAGGACCACUUCUUACAUUUGCAAAGAGCUUAUAUCAGAGCUUUGCCUCUGUUGUCCUAGUAGAGUCCCCCAGCAGCCCAGUGACAUGGGUGAGUAAUAUUAUGUCUGUGUUUUAUAUGUGGAGCCUGGAACUCAGGUAAAUGGCCCAAUUUUGUAUAGUGAAACAGACUAAACCCGGGAUUUUUCGGCUGUGGACCCAGGUGCUUUACCCACCACGUGGAUUUCUUCUUUUCUCUCUCCACAUCCAAACAAAUAGAAGUGUGCAAGUUCGGCUUGAAAAUGGUAUUGAGAGUUGUUUUUGUUGGAAACACUCUUUGUCAAGUACCUGGGGGUCUUCAUCAGUAAGACCUCAUUUUAGAUGCCUCCUGGCCUCCCCUUCCCAGGAGCACAGCUAUGACCUUAGGUACUCCUUCCGAAAAGAACUUGUUUAACUAAAGGUAAGUGUACCUCAUCCUCACCAUGGCCUCCUUCCACUGGGGAAGCAGAUAGCGCAGAAAAAAGAACACACCCAUUCCCCACAUACCUUCACACUCGUCACAUACCUGCUACGUGAGAUGUGCAAAGCUGAAUUCAGGGAAUGCUCAGUAGUUACAUAACAGUGCCACUAAAGGCAAUUGUUUUCAGUGAUUUCCAUCGAGCUGGGUUCUGCAAAGAUCCACAGCACUUUCCGGUUGCAUGCUGGGCACUUUUGGAAGCUGCAGUCAAUUCUGGAGGCCACCAGGGCACCAUUAGCACAUAGCAGCAAUUAUUGACUAAAUGGUGCUCUGGUUCCAUGCCUUCCAAGGGGGCCCACUUAGAGGCAGGGUGGAGUUGCUUAGGGCCUUUUUUUUUUUUUUUUUUUGUAGACGGAGUUUUGCUCUUGUUGCCCAAGCUGGAGUGCAAUGGUGCGAUCUUCGCUUACUGCAACCUCUGCUUCCUGGGUUCAAGUGAUUCUCCUGCCUCAGCCUCCCGAGUAGCUGGGAUUACAAGCGUCUGCCACCACACCCGGCUAAUUUUUGCAUUUUUAGUAGAGACAGGUUUCACUCAGUUGGCCUGGCUGGUCUUGAGCCCCUGACCUCAAGUGAUCCGCCCACCUUGGCCUCCCAAAGUGCUGGGAUUACAGGCAUCAGCCACCAUGCCCAGCCAAUGACUGACUAUUUUCUUUGGCCACCUAGAAAGCUAGCCGAGGUCACUGGACCCUCUGCUCUGUCUUGCUGGUUCACCUUUGCUCCCUGCCCUGUCCAAGCCUGAGGCAUAUCCCUCACCCCCCUGGUCACUGGUUUUCUAUCAGGUUUUAGCAGGUUCAAGUUGAAGCUUCUCCUCAUGGACUCUGGAAUCCUGACCUUGCUUGGAUCCCCAGCCAGGUCCAACUUGUUAAGCUGAGCCUCCUCUUCUGGGGCCUCCACCCUUCCCCUCCCUCUAUCCUCCAACUAGUUGCUUUGGCAGAUCAACCGCCUGUGUCAGCAUAUCCUCCUCUUCUUGUUGUAGAAACUCUCUGCUCUCAUCUGCAUGAAAAAGAAUCUAGCUCUUUAAAACUCCAUUCAUCUGUUACUUCCAUCCAGGACUCAUCUCUUCUGGGACACCACAACCCAUCACAGGAAUCCCCUCUCCCUAGCCCAGCAAAGGAUCAUGCCUUUCCCUAACUACUUCAGGAGGGGAGCCAGGGCUUUUCACGGUUCAAAGAACAGUCCAGGUCCCUUUACCUUGUCCAACCAGGGCUCCUCCUAAAUCCACCUAAGGGUCAGAGCAGGGGGACAGGCACACGUACACAGAGCUGACUGGAAGCUGUGGCACAGAGGCAUUUUUAAUGGAAGUGGCUUUGCAGACUGGAAUCUGUGACUGCAUCAGCUCAGAAGCAGGCCUUUGCUGCUCCUGGUCUCUUCUGAAUCUUUGGGUCAGUGGUUCUCAACCCUGGCUGCAGAGAAUUAGAGUCACUUGCUGGGGGCGGAUGGGCUGGGGAGUUAUAUGCCAAAACUUGCGCCUAUUUCCCUAAAGUUCGGAUUUAAUUGGUCUGCCCUGGGGCAUAAACAGUAUUGCUAUUUAAAAAUCAGGCUUCCCCUGGUGACUGUAAUGUGCUACCAGGGCUAUGAAGCACUGAUCUGGGGUCUUGGGGAAUUAUGGUUUGAGAAGCACAAACUCAGAUAUCACUCUUUUAGGGGUUAGACCUUGGGAGCUCAUCUGUGUGUCCCCUCCCUAGUGGCCUAAUUUCCCUAGGUCUCGGUAGGAGGAGGACCUUGGGGGAAGAUUCUCUUGCCUUAGCAGGAGAGAAGCCUAUAGCUAAUGAGACAUGGAGCAAAAGAGAAGAAGGGAGAGGGAGAAACUAAAAGAAGGAUAAAUGGACAAAGAAAGAAGGAAGGGCAAGAAAACAGUAGAAAAAUAGUGGCUGGGUAGAGGCCCAGAAGGACCACCAUAACUGUUCAGGUCUCAGGACCAAAGCUGGACAUUGGGAGCAAAUCCCCGUUCCCUGGGAGGGGAAUUCUCUAGCUGCCCUGAGAUCAGCUGGAGAAGUCAAGCCCUGCGGGGAAGGCGGCCUGCGGUGAAUUUCG
This 3500-nucleotide long non-coding RNA is filed under the name Homo sapiens (human). Its description in RNAcentral is "HSALNT0305198". Lineage: Eukaryota; Metazoa; Chordata; Mammalia; Primates; Hominidae. The record is from RNAcentral.